RNAcentral lists this ribosomal RNA (3008 nucleotides) under Salmonella enterica subsp. enterica serovar Typhimurium. RNAcentral describes it as "23S ribosomal RNA". It matches the Rfam family "Bacterial large subunit ribosomal RNA". Lineage: Bacteria; Pseudomonadati; Pseudomonadota; Gammaproteobacteria; Enterobacterales; Enterobacteriaceae. The record is from RNAcentral.
GGUUAAGCGACUAAGCGUACACGGUGGAUGCCCUGGCAGUCAGAGGCGAUGAAGGGCGUGCUAAUCUGCGAUAAGCGCCGGUAAGGUGAUAUGAACCGUUAUAACCGGCGAUACCCGAAUGGGGAAACCCAGUGUGAUUCGUCACACUAUCAUUAACUGAAUCCAUAGGUUAAUGAGGCGAACCGGGGGAACUGAAACAUCUAAGUACCCCGAGGAAAAGAAAUCAACCGAGAUUCCCCCAGUAGCGGCGAGCGAACGGGGAGGAGCCCAGAGCCUGAAUCAGCAUGUGUGUUAGUGGAAGCGUCUGGAAAGGUGCGCGAUACAGGGUGACAGCCCCGUACACAAAAGCGCAUGUGCUGUGAGCUCGAUGAGUAGGGCGGGACACGUGGUAUCCUGUCUGAAUAUGGGGGGACCAUCCUCCAAGGCUAAAUACUCCUGACUGACCGAUAGUGAACCAGUACCGUGAGGGAAAGGCGAAAAGAACCCCGGCGAGGGGAGUGAAAAAGAACCUGAAACCGUGUACGUACAAGCAGUGGGAGCCCCACCACCAAAGCAUUCUCUGGUGUUGAAGGCCCUGCAAAGCAGCAUCGCGGUGGCGGAGCGUCGUUUGCGACGCCCAACACACAAAACAAGCGGUGAAUGCUUUGGGGUGGGGUGACUGCGUACCUUUUGUAUAAUGGGUCAGCGACUUAUAUUCUGUAGCAAGGUUAACCGAAUAGGGGAGCCGGAGGGAAACCGAGUCUUAAUUGGGCGUUAAGUUGCAGGGUAUAGACCCGAAACCCGGUGAUCUAGCCAUGGGCAGGUUGAAGGUUGGGUAACACUAACUGGAGGACCGAACCGACUAAUGUUGAAAAAUUAGCGGAUGACCUGUGGCUGGGGGUGAAAGGCCAAUCAAACCGGGAGAUAGCUGGUUCUCCCCGAAAGCUAUUUAGGUAGCGCCUCGUGAAUUCAUCUCCGGGGGUAGAGCACUGUUUCGGCUAGGGGGCCAUCCCGGCUUACCAACCCGAUGCAAACUGCGAAUACCGGAGAAUGUUAUCACGGGAGACACACGGCGGGUGCUAACGUCCGUCGUGAAGAGGGAAACAACCCAGACCGCCAGCUAAGGUCCCAAAGUCAUGGUUAAGUGGGAAACGAUGUGGGAAGGCCCAGACAGCCAGGAUGUUGGCUUAGAAGCAGCCAUCAUUUAAAGAAAGCGUAAUAGCUCACUGGUCGAGUCGGCCUGCGCGGAAGAUGUAACGGGGCUAAACCAUGCACCGAAGCUGCGGCAGCGACGCUGAUGCGUUGUUGGGUAGGGGAGCGUUCUGUAAGCCUGCGAAGGUGACCUGUGAGGGUUGCUGGAGGUAUCAGAAGUGCGAAUGCUGACAUAAGUAACGAUAAAGCGGGUGAAAAGCCCGCUCGCCGGAAGACCAAGGGUUCCUGUCCAACGUUAAUCGGGGCAGGGUGAGUCGACCCCUAAGGCGAGGCCGAAAGGCGUAGUCGAUGGGAAACGGGUUAAUAUUCCCGUACUUGGUGUUACUGCGAAGGGGGGACGGAGAAGGCUAUGUUGGCCGGGCGACGGUUGUCCCGGUUUAAGCGUGUAGGUGUGUGUUCCAGGUAAAUCCGGUUCACUUUAACACUGAGGCGUGACGACGAGGCACUACGGUGCUGAAGCAACAAAUGCCCUGCUUCCAGGAAAAGCCUCUAAGCAUCAGGUAACACGAAAUCGUACCCCAAACCGACACAGGUGGUCAGGUAGAGAAUACCAAGGCGCUUGAGAGAACUCGGGUGAAGGAACUAGGCAAAAUGGUGCCGUAACUUCGGGAGAAGGCACGCUGACACGUAGGUGAAGUGAUUUACUCAUGGAGCUGAAGUCAGUCGAAGAUACCAGCUGGCUGCAACUGUUUAUUAAAAACACAGCACUGUGCAAACACGAAAGUGGACGUAUACGGUGUGACGCCUGCCCGGUGCCGGAAGGUUAAUUGAUGGGGUCAGCGCAAGCGAAGCUCCUGAUCGAAGCCCCGGUAAACGGCGGCCGUAACUAUAACGGUCCUAAGGUAGCGAAAUUCCUUGUCGGGUAAGUUCCGACCUGCACGAAUGGCGUAAUGAUGGCCAGGCUGUCUCCACCCGAGACUCAGUGAAAUUGAACUCGCUGUGAAGAUGCAGUGUACCCGCGGCAAGACGGAAAGACCCCGUGAACCUUUACUAUAGCUUGACACUGAACAUUGAGCCUUGAUGUGUAGGAUAGGUGGGAGGCUUUGAAGUGUGGACGCCAGUCUGCAUGGAGCCGACCUUGAAAUACCACCCUUUAAUGUUUGAUGUUCUAACGUGGACCCGUAAUCCGGGUUGCGGACAGUGUCUGGUGGGUAGUUUGACUGGGGCGGUCUCCUCCUAAAGAGUAACGGAGGAGCACGAAGGUUGGCUAAUCCUGGUCGGACAUCAGGAGGUUAGUGCAAUGGCAUAAGCCAGCUUGACUGCGAGCGUGACGGCGCGAGCAGGUGCGAAAGCAGGUCAUAGUGAUCCGGUGGUUCUGAAUGGAAGGGCCAUCGCUCAACGGAUAAAAGGUACUCCGGGGAUAACAGGCUGAUACCGCCCAAGAGUUCAUAUCGACGGCGGUGUUUGGCACCUCGAUGUCGGCUCAUCACAUCCUGGGGCUGAAGUAGGUCCCAAGGGUAUGGCUGUUCGCCAUUUAAAGUGGUACGCGAGCUGGGUUUAGAACGUCGUGAGACAGUUCGGUCCCUAUCUGCCGUGGGCGCUGGAGAACUGAGGGGGGCUGCUCCUAGUACGAGAGGACCGGAGUGGACGCAUCACUGGUGUUCGGGUUGUCAUGCCAAUGGCACUGCCCGGUAGCUAAAUGCGGAAGAGAUAAGUGCUGAAAGCAUCUAAGCACGAAACUUGCCCCGAGAUGAGUUCUCCCUGAGACUUUAGGUCUCCUGAAGGAACGUUGAAGACGACGACGUUGAUAGGCCGGGUGUGUAAGCGCAGCGAUGCGUUGAGCUAACCGGUACUAAUGAACCGUGAGGCUUAACCUU